This 1732-nucleotide long non-coding RNA is filed under the name Populus tremula. Its description in RNAcentral is "long non-coding RNA (PTRE_LNC000800)". Lineage: Eukaryota; Viridiplantae; Streptophyta; Magnoliopsida; Malpighiales; Salicaceae. The record is from RNAcentral.
AAUUUAGAAACAUUCAAUAGAUAUGAUUCUGAAACAUAACAACCUUAAUUGUUGUGAUUCUGAAUCGUAAUAUAUACAAACUAUGUUAUUUCUUCAAUUAUUUUUCAAACUAUGAUAUUUGAUAUUUCGCUAAUACUUUUUAAUUUACUUUACUAAUUUUUUUUUUUAAAUCCAAAUCCGGGGAAAAAUGAAAGAAUUUUCUCGCCAUUAACUUAUAUUCUAAACAUCAAGUAAAGCAUUUUGUCUCUACCCCAUAUCUCCAAAAUGCAAAACGUCUUCAACCCUGCAAUGACACUACUACUUCUAAUCCAAAAAUCCAACAUCUUACAAGGACAUUUAUCAUGAAUAUUUCCACAUAAAGAAGGUUAAAAGUUGUUCUGAUAAUUCCAUAACCUAGCAUCAUUCAAAAGAAGGAUAUUGAUUUCCAGAGUUAAAUAAUUUCUAAGGGAAAGGAUUGGGGAAAAGGAUGUCCAUCCCAAUCCAGCUCUGUAGCUUUCCAGCUUCAGUCAACAGAUUCUAUCCUUGGAAAUUUAAGCAAACAAUGUGCACCCAAGUACAAAAAACCAAGUCAUAUGAAGACAUGCUCAGUCACGACUAAGAAGAUUCAGUCUUGUAGUCAUAACAGUAACAUUCAGAACCAUUGUAAAACCAAAUUUGAGUCAGAGCCAUCUCUGCAAUGAACAAGAUGAAAAAUGGAUUAAUUUUUUCCUAUCUCGGACAAUGUUGCAAAUGGUCAAUUUGCUGCUCUCUCUACCAACCAAGAUAUGAAUUUAGAAAGAUCUAUUAGCAUGUAAAUGUCAAAAACAUGGAAAAGAAACUUCUACUGGAACAAAAAUGCACACCAUUCCAGAACAAUUUUGAACGUAGGCACUUUAACUCAGAGACUUGAGUUCUUUUGAAGCAGAAUGAUGCAUUUUUUGGCAUAAUUUACAUAGCAUUUCGAGAUAAUAAAGUAGUGACAUGAAAGGCAAUCCAAAAAAUCACAACACUAGUUUUACAAGUAGUGAGUUCCUUUCAAUUUCAUAAAAGUCGUGCUCUUUCUAAUUCUUCAUAAUAUUAGUCCAUUGAUGCCAACUAAUUAUGCAAUGAUCUCAUUUACAACAAGACAAAAUACAAGACUCGACAUGGACAGGUUCAAGCCUGACAAUUCAUUCACAGAACCUAAGAUAUUCAAUUUCCCCCCGGCCUUAAAGGCCUCCUGUCCUCACUAUUACUGUUGCGAUGGGGCAUAGUAGCAAGAACAGAGACAGAAUACAAGAUAAGACUUGCUAUCCUCACUAUGUUUUUGAUACCUAGCUGUUACACGUACAGAUCACCACCAUUGCUGUCUGGUUCAAGUCUCCUUUUCAUGUUAUCCCCAAUGGUUUCAGUUCCAUAACCAUGGGUUGAACUUGGAAUUUCUACCAAACCCAUUUAAUUUUGCUAAUACAGAAAGGAAUUUUGUUCGAUCUAAUAUGAUAUUAUCAGUAUUAUUCAAAACAGAGAAGGAGAAUGAGAUGAUGUUAUAAGUUAUAACAAGAAGUUUAUGAAAACUAGCCUGAUUGAUGCCAAAAUAGAGAUGAGAGACCACAGAAGAAGGAAAGAGGCAGAUCACAGACGAAGUGAAGAAACAAAAUAGGUGUUUUGAGAAAGAGAGAGAGUGGAAUUGUUGAACAGUGGAAUCAUGUGCUAGUGCUACUUAAGAGUCUUGAGACGUAAAUGCUAAAUGCUAAUUGUAUAUUUCUUUCGAAAU